Molecule: ribosomal RNA, 440 nt
Filed under: uncultured bacterium
Lineage: Bacteria
Description: partial 16S ribosomal RNA
Rfam family: Bacterial small subunit ribosomal RNA
Source: RNAcentral
CCUACGGGGGGCAGCAGUGGGGAAUAUUGCACAAUGGGGGAAACCCUGAUGCAGCGAUGCCGCGUGAGUGAAGAAGUAAUUCGUUAUGUAAAGCUCUAUCAGCAGGGAAGAAAAUGACGGUACCUGAGUAAGAAGCACCGGCGAACUACGUGCCAGCAGCCGCGGUAAUACGUAGGGGGCAAGCGUUAUCCGGAUUUACUGGGUGUAAUGGGAGCGUAGACGGCAGUGCAAGUCUGGAGUGAAAGGCGGGGGCUCAACCCCCGGACUGCUCUGGAAACUGUACGGCUGGAGUGCAGGAGAGGUAAGUGGAAUUCCUAGUGUAGCGGUGGAAUGCGUAGAUAUUAGGAGGAACACCAGUGGCGAAGGCGGCUUACUGGACUGUAACUGACGUUGAGGCUCGAAAGCGUGGGGAGCAAACAGGAUUAGAUACCCCUGUAGUC